GGACGGAAUAUUUUUUUUAAAAAUAUUAUCUUAUUUUAUUUCAGAUCUAAAGUCUAUUAGAUCUGAUUCUUAUUAUUUGAUAUUUAAUCUAAAAUUAAAUCUAAAACUUGAGGAUUAGAGGAAUACCUCUAGGGUAACUAGAUUACCUUGUAGAUGAUCGCAGCAAUGCCCGAGGUUCAAAAAUAGUCAUGCAGUCGUCUGACCUCUACUGAUAUCC
This 217-nucleotide long non-coding RNA is filed under the name Elaeis guineensis (African oil palm). Its description in RNAcentral is "long non-coding RNA (EGUI_LNC061080)". The record is from RNAcentral. Lineage: Eukaryota; Viridiplantae; Streptophyta; Magnoliopsida; Arecales; Arecaceae.